Molecule: ribosomal RNA, 238 nt
Filed under: uncultured bacterium
Lineage: Bacteria
Description: partial 16S ribosomal RNA
Rfam family: Bacterial small subunit ribosomal RNA
Source: RNAcentral
CGGCGGACGGGUGAGUAACGCGUGGGUAACCUGCCUCAUACAGGGGGAUAACAGUUAGAAAUGACUGCUAAUACCGCAUAAGACCACAGCACCGCAUGGUGCGGGGGUAAAAACUCCGGUGGUAUGAGAUGGACCCGCGUCUGAUUAGGUAGUUGGUGGGGUAACGGCCUACCAAGCCGACGAUCAGUAGCCGACCUGAGAGGGUGACCGGCCACAUUGGGACUGAGACACGGCCCAA